UUAGGUUGGCCGCAUUAAUUGGGUUGGCAGCAUUUAUGAAAUCGGUUGGAAUAGUGCCUGAGUUGGGGCUAUAUAUAGCCAUGAAACAUGAGCUAUUCCAUCACACCUCCUACUUCUCUUCUUACUUUCCUUCUCCUUUCUCCUUCCUCCUCCAUUUUCACCUCCUUUUUAAGCUUUUAUUUUGUAGUCUUGAGCUCCUCACGAGCACCUCCUUGCCGCCACCUCCUUCCUUGCGUUGAACCGAGGUAUUUCCGGUUCGUAACUAGGAACCCCGUGUUUGUUUUGCAAAGAUCAAGAUAGGUGAUGGCGAUCGAACGACGUGAACUAUAUGCUGCAUGGGGAGUGAUGGGCGGUGAUCACCUAGCUUAAUCUAGUAGACAUAGUAUUAGUGGUGUAGUUUUUUUGAAAAUGUAUCAAACUAUUAUUACUACUAUUAUUAUCAUUAAUGAAAGUUAAGUACUAUUUUCCGCUGCAAAAAAAAAAAAAA
Long non-coding RNA from Chenopodium quinoa (quinoa), 487 nucleotides. RefSeq lists it as uncharacterized. The record is from RefSeq and is a predicted model, not a curated record. NCBI's taxonomy places the organism in Eukaryota, Viridiplantae, Streptophyta, Magnoliopsida, Caryophyllales, Amaranthaceae. The transcript has 3 exons.